This 253-nucleotide ribosomal RNA is filed under the name uncultured bacterium. Its description in RNAcentral is "partial 16S ribosomal RNA". It matches the Rfam family "Bacterial small subunit ribosomal RNA", at positions 524 to 776 of the family's 1533-position model. The record is from RNAcentral.
UACGAGGGGGGCAAGCGUUGUUCGGAAUUAUUGGGCGUAAAGCGCGCGCAGGCGGUUUCUUAAGUCUGAUGUGAAAGCCCACGGCUCAACCGUGGAGGGUCAUUGGAAACUGGGGAACUUGAGUGCAGAAGAGAAAAGCGGAAUUCCACGUGUAGCGGUGAAAUGCGUAGAGAUGUGGAGGAACACCAGUGGCGAAGGCGGUUUUUUGGUCUGUAACUGACGCUGAGGCGCGAAAGCGUGGGGAGCAAACAGG